This 438-nucleotide ribosomal RNA is filed under the name uncultured bacterium. RNAcentral's name for it is "partial 16S ribosomal RNA". It matches the Rfam family "Bacterial small subunit ribosomal RNA", at positions 340 to 795 of the family's 1533-position model. The record is from RNAcentral.
CCCGGGAGGCAGCAGUGGGGAAUAUUGCACAAUGGGGGAAACCCUGAUGCAGCGACGCCGCGUGAGUGAAGAAGUAUUUCGGUAUGUAAAGCUCUAUCAGCAGGGAAGAAAAUGACGGUACCUGACUAAGAAGCCCCGGCUAACUACGUGCCAGCAGCCGCGGUAAUACGUAGGGGGCAAGCGUUAUCCGGAUUUACUGGGUGUAAAGGGAGCGUAGACGGUGAUGCAAGUCAGAAGUGAAAGCCCGGGGCUCAACUCCGGGACUGCUUUUGAAACUGUGUGACUGGAGUGCAGGAGAGGUAAGCGGAAUUCCUGGUGUAGCGGUGAAAUGCGUAGAUAUCAGGAGGAACACCAGUGGCGAAGGCGGCUUACUGGACUGUAACUGACGUUGAGGCUCGAAAGCGUGGGGAGCAAACAGGAUUAGAUACCCGUGUAGUC